Molecule: ribosomal RNA, 439 nt
Filed under: uncultured bacterium
Lineage: Bacteria
Description: partial 16S ribosomal RNA
Rfam family: Bacterial small subunit ribosomal RNA
Source: RNAcentral
CCUACGGGCGGCUGCAGUAGGGAAUAUUGCUCAAUGGGGGAAACCCUGAUGCAGCAACGCCGCGUGGGGGAUGAAGUUUUUCGGAUUGUAAAGCCCUUUUGUCAGAGAAGAUAAUGACGGUAUCUAACGAAUAAGCACCGGCUAACUACGUGCCAGCAGCCGCGGUAAUACGGAGGGGGCAAGCGUUAUCCGGAAUCACUGGGCGUAAAGGGCGCGUAGGCGGGAAAGCAAGUCUGAUGUAAAAUCCCGGGGCUUAACCAUAGAACUGCAUUUGAAACGGUUGUUCUAGGGGAUGGGAGGGGAAGGGGAAUUCUUGGUGUAGGGGUAAAAUCCGUAGAGAUCAAGAGGAAUACUCAUUGCGAAGGCGACCUGCUAGAACAUAACUGACGCUGAUGCGCGAAAGCGUGGGGAGCAAACAGGAUUAGAUACCCUUGUAGUC